This 400-nucleotide ribosomal RNA is filed under the name uncultured bacterium. RNAcentral's name for it is "bacterial SSU rRNA". It matches the Rfam family "Bacterial small subunit ribosomal RNA", at positions 355 to 747 of the family's 1533-position model. The record is from RNAcentral.
UGGGGAAUCUUGGACAAUGGGGGCAACCCUGAUCCAGCGAUGCCGCGUGGGUGAAGAAGGCCUUCGGGUUGUAAAGCCCUUUAGGCUGGGACGAAGGGUAUGGGACGAAUAAUCCUGUACUUUGACGGUACCAGCAGAAUAAGCACCGGCAAACUCUGUGCCAGCAGCCGCGGUAAUACAGAGGGUGCAAGCGUUAAUCGGAUUUACUGGGCGUAAAGGGCGCGUAGGCGGUGAUGUGAGUGUGAUGUGAAAGCCCCGGGCUUAACCUGGGAAGUGCAUCGCAAACGACAUGACUGGAGUAGAUGAGAGGGUGGCGGAAUUUCCGGUGUAGCGGUGAAAUGCGUAGAGAUCGGAAGGAACGUCAAUGGCGAAGGCAGCCACCUGGCAUCAUACUGACGCU